AUGUUAGCACCCACGGUACAGGAUUAUGUCGACGCCAAAUAUUUCGUCCUUGUACAAGACGUCGCAAGAAUUCCCUAUUUUAACUGGGGAUGUUUCACACUUAACGAUCUGUUGACAUCCAUCAAUACUUUUAACUAUGUGGACCAAGUGAAUCUACAAGGAAAUCUAGCUUUGCUCCAAGUUAUCACGAAGAUCGGUGAUCUGGAGCCAACCAACAUUACAAAUGACCAGCAUACCAACAAAGAUACACAUGCGCAUGAAGAUGCUAGCUAUCGACCACAACCACGAGGUCAAACUAUGAGUAGCCAACAAAUGGACAUGAUACUUCAAACCCAGAAUGAUCUAUUUGCAGAACAAGAGAAAAAGUUGGUCAAACAAGUAGUAGAAGUAGAGCACAAAUUAGAUAAAAGAAUAAUCUCCGUGACCAAGGACGUGAUAAACAUAAGGGGUAAAAUUGCCACUCAAGCUAGGUUGUCCAAGCUGGAGGACGAAGUUGGAGACCUCAAAAGGGAAGUUGGAGACCUCAAAAGGGAACUCCAGGAAUUAAGAUCCCUAGGUGAAACAAACAAACAAUCAACGAAGAGGAAUGCAUACGUACAGGAACAAGAGCAACCAAGCAAUGACAAGUUUUCAUCAACUCCUGUGUUUGACGCAUGGAAAGAACGGACUUCUGCUGGUACACCUAGUGCAAAACCUGUGGUGCAAAACAAGGAGUUGGACCAAGACAUCCCACCACGGAAGCCUGUAUUCAACAAUGCUUACAUAUUGACAGAUGAAGACUAUGAGGCUGAACUUUUCAUCCGAGGGAGUCACGACCUUGUUGAGCUAGUUCACAUCGAAGACAUUGUGCUAACAGUUCAUCAACUCAAUCCAAAUGUUAUUAAUGCAUAUGCACACAUUAGCAAUGUUGCAACUGAUGCUACAUCAUUCAUUUCCACCAUAGAAAGCAGAAGAUUGCUAGGCGAAUUUGGGGGUAUUCCAAUGGGAUGCAAAAGCCCACAUGUUGCUAAUGUAGCAACGAAAUUUGUAGGACGCAAAAUGGUACGUGUCCCAAUGAAUAUGCACAACAUGCACUGGUUAUUACUCAUGUUUAAUUUAGAUAAAGAAGAGAUCCAGGUCCUAAACUCCAUCCAAGCAUAUCGUGACAUUGCGAAGAAAACUCCACUGGUGGAGUCCAUUCAGGCGUGUAUCAACGAAGCGGUCGAGGAUGGCUUGGUAACACCGCCUAAACCCAUCAAUAUUACCCAGUGGAAAACCACUUGCUAUACUAACAUACCACAACAGACGGAUGGGUACGUAUAG
This 1302-nucleotide ribosomal RNA is filed under the name Triticum aestivum (bread wheat). Its description in RNAcentral is "partial small subunit ribosomal RNA". Lineage: Eukaryota; Viridiplantae; Streptophyta; Magnoliopsida; Poales; Poaceae. The record is from RNAcentral.